This 248-nucleotide ribosomal RNA is filed under the name Clostridioides difficile. RNAcentral describes it as "partial 23S ribosomal RNA". It matches the Rfam family "Bacterial large subunit ribosomal RNA", at positions 393 to 644 of the family's 2925-position model. The record is from RNAcentral. Lineage: Bacteria; Bacillati; Bacillota; Clostridia; Peptostreptococcales; Peptostreptococcaceae.
ACUUUAGAUAUGAUCCAGAGUACCACGGACACGUGAAACCCUGUGGGAAGCAGGAGGGACCACCCUCCAAGGCUAAAUACUACCUAGUGACCGAUAGCGUAUAGUACCGUGAGGGAAAGGGGAAAAGAACCCCGGGAGGGGAGUGAAAUAGAACCUGAAACCCUGCACUUACAAGCUGUGGAAGCACAUUUCUUGUGUGACCGCGUACUUUUUGUAGAACGGGCCAACGAGUUACGUUAAGUAGCAAG